RNAcentral lists this ribosomal RNA (657 nucleotides) under uncultured fungus. RNAcentral describes it as "eukaryotic LSU rRNA". The stretch from base 256 to 409 matches the Rfam family "5.8S ribosomal RNA". The record is from RNAcentral. Lineage: Eukaryota; Fungi.
CUUGGUCAUUUAGAGGAAGUAAAAGUCGUAACAAGGUUUCCGUAGGUGAACCUGCGGAAGGAUCAUUACCGAGUGCUCUGGGCCCCCUCGUGGGCCCGACCUCCCACCCUUGUCUAUAUCUACCCUGUUGCUUCGGCGGGCCCGCCUGUCCAGGCCGCCGGGGGGCGCUCCGCCCCCGGGCCCGUGCCCGCCGGGGACUCAACUCUGAACACUGUCUGAAGGUUGCAGUCUGAGUCUUGAUAUAAAAUCAAUUAAAACUUUCAACAACGGAUCUCUUGGUUCCGGCAUCGAUGAAGAACGCAGCGAAAUGCGAUAAGUAAUGUGAAUUGCAGAAUUCAGUGAAUCAUCGAAUCUUUGAACGCACAUUGCGCCCCCUGGUAUUCCGGGGGGCAUGCCUGUCCGAGCGUCAUUGCUGCCCUCAAGCACGGCUUGUGUGUUGGGCCGCCGUCCCUCCCUCCGGGGAGGGACGGGCCCGAAAGGCAGCGGCGGCACCGUGUCCGGUCCUCGAGUGUAUGGGGCUCUGUCACCCACUCUGGUAGGUCCGGCCGGCAAAGAGCCAGCCCCACGUUCAUCAACCCAGGUUGAUUUAUUUCUCCAGGUUGACCUCGGAUCAGGUAGGGAUACCCGCUGAACUUAAGCAUAUCAAUAAGCGGAGGA